CCUACGGGUGGCAGCAGUAGGGAAUAUUGCUCAAUGGGGGAAACCCUGAAGCAGCAACGCCGCGUGGAGGAUGAAGGUUUUCGGAUUGUAAACUCCUGUUGUUAGAGAAGAGAAUGACGGUAAGUAACGAAUAAGCACCGGCUAACGCCGUGCCAGCAGCCGCGGGAAUACGGAGGGUGCAAGCGUUACUCGGAAUGCCGGGGCGUAAAGAGCGCGUAGGCGGGAUAGCAAGUCAGAUGGGAAAUCCUAUGGCUUAACCCUAGAACUGCAUUUGAAACUGUUAUUCUAGAGUAUGGGAGAGGUAGGUGGAAUUCUUGUUGUAGCGGUCAACUCCG
RNAcentral lists this ribosomal RNA (335 nucleotides) under uncultured bacterium. Its description in RNAcentral is "partial 16S ribosomal RNA". It matches the Rfam family "Bacterial small subunit ribosomal RNA", at positions 338 to 690 of the family's 1533-position model. The record is from RNAcentral.